RNAcentral lists this ribosomal RNA (196 nucleotides) under Ctenophora environmental sample. RNAcentral describes it as "partial Bacterial large subunit ribosomal RNA". It matches the Rfam family "Bacterial large subunit ribosomal RNA", at positions 2257 to 2452 of the family's 2925-position model. Lineage: Eukaryota; Metazoa; Ctenophora. The record is from RNAcentral.
UGAGGUGGGUAGUUUAACUGGGGCGGUUGCCUCCUAAAGAGUAACGGAGGCGCACAAAGGUUGACUAUCUCCGGAUGGAAAUCGGAGAGAUAGUGUAUUCGCAUAAGUCAGCCUGACUGAGAGACUUACAAGUCGAUCAGACACGAAAGUGGGUGAAAAUGAUCCGGCAUUAACGAGUGGAAGUGAUGUCGCUCAA